GACGAACGCUGGCGGCGUGCUUAACACAUGCAAGUCGAACGGAAAGGCCCUGCUUUUGUGGGGUGCUCGAGUGGCGAACGGGUGAGUAACACGUGAGUAACCUGCCCUUGACUUUGGGAUAACUUCAGGAAACUGGGGCUAAUACCGGAUAGGAGCUCCUGCUGCAUGGUGGGGGUUGGAAAGUUUCGGCGGUUGGGGAUGGACUCGCGGCUUAUCAGCUUGUUGGUGGGGUAGUGGCUUACCAAGGCUUUGACGGGUAGCCGGCCUGAGAGGGUGACCGGCGACAUUGGGACUGAGAUACGGCCCAGACUCCUACGGGAGGCAGCAGUGGGGAAUAUGGCACAAUGGGCGGAAGCCUGAUGCAGCAACGCCGCGUGCGGGAUGACGGCCUGCGGGUUGUAAACCGCUUUCGCCUGUGACGAAGCGUGAGUGACGGUAAUGGGUAAAGAAGCGCCGGCUAACUACGUG
This 468-nucleotide ribosomal RNA is filed under the name uncultured bacterium. RNAcentral's name for it is "partial 16S ribosomal RNA". It matches the Rfam family "Bacterial small subunit ribosomal RNA", at positions 28 to 507 of the family's 1533-position model. The record is from RNAcentral.